AAGAUUAAGAACCACACUCCCUUCCUUUCCCUGCCAUCGUGGUGUGUGCUUUACUCCGUUUCUCGCCAUGUCUUCUCACAAGACUUCCAGGAUUAAGCGAUUCCUGGCCAAGAAACAAAAGCAAAAUCGUCCCAUUCCCCAGUGGAUUCGGAUGAAAACUGGUAAUAAAAUCGGUACAACCCCAAAAGGAGACAUUGGAGAAGAACCAGGCUGGGUCUAUAAGGAAUUACACGAGAU
This is a non-coding RNA of Callithrix jacchus (white-tufted-ear marmoset), 237 nucleotides long. Lineage: Eukaryota; Metazoa; Chordata; Mammalia; Primates; Cebidae. The record is from RefSeq and is a predicted model, not a curated record.